This 68-nucleotide transfer RNA is filed under the name Marmota monax (woodchuck). RNAcentral describes it as "tRNA.Ala". Lineage: Eukaryota; Metazoa; Chordata; Mammalia; Rodentia; Sciuridae. The record is from RNAcentral.
GGGGUUGUGGCUUAGUGGUAAGCGCUCGCCUAGCACGUGCGAGGCGCUAGGUUCUAUCCUCAGCACCA